Molecule: long non-coding RNA, 1754 nt
Organism: Gallus gallus (chicken)
Lineage: Eukaryota; Metazoa; Chordata; Aves; Galliformes; Phasianidae
Exons: 3
Source: RefSeq, marked validated
AUCCUUUCCUUAUGAAGACCCAGGGGAUUGCUUACUUAGCAUCCACCAGAGGCAAUGGAUAGGGUGAGCAGUCACUGCAGCCAGAAAAGCCCAGCACGGAGCAAAGGCAAUUACCUCCGCACGCAGAGACUUUGGAGCUGAAUUGUGCUGAACGGAGAACCCCUCCGGCUGGCAGAGCCAUGUGCGGCCGAGAAGAGCAGCCACUUUCGCUCCGCUGAAAAGCAAUGCAAGCACACCAGGGAUAAGAACUGCUUUCAGGUCUGGGUGGACGUGAACCUGAGCGGAGCCUGAAGGCGUUAAAGCCACGCUGACCAACAAAACUUUUAAAAUAUGACUAUGGUGAGGAUUUUAGCUCCACGAUGCUGCCAUGCCGGGAUGUGACAGGCUUCCCACCCAGGUCUGGAAGGUGGUCAACGAUGUUAGCAGCAAACAUAAACCCCGAUGAGGAGCAGCAUGAGCCAUGGAGGGACCCACCCCAGAGCCCGCAUAUGUUGAUGUGGACAAGGGACUGACACUAGCAUGUUUUGUCUUCCUCUGCCUUUUCUUGAUUGUGAUGAUAAUUCGCUGUGCAAAAGUCAUCAUGGACCCUUACAGUGCCAUCCCCACAUCCACAUGGGAGGAGCAGCACCUGGAUGACUGAAGGGGCUUGAUUACACAGAGCCAUAAGAUGCUGCAAUCUAGGAGGCCUCUGCCUAUCAGGAAGGCAAGCAGAAACAGCCAUUUUCAGAUAUGCAGGAUGACGGCAAUAUAUUUAAGAGCCAAUAGUUCAUGUGAUUAUUGCUCAAUAGACCAGAACAUCAACAAGCCAUUCUGGAAGCACAAUAAUACUAUGCAGCAACCCUCAUCUUAAUGAAGAUGGUCAUCAUAUAGCUCAGUAGCACAACGUCCUCCAGACUUUUCCUAUAGCUACAGCACAGUUUGCCCUCAAUGUCUCCCACAAAUUCAGGGCUUUAUUCAGAAAUUGGAAUUUGAUAAAGCAAUCAGAAUGUCUUCCCUGAAUACAAGAUUACUUCAAUUACCUUUCUGAGUCAUUAUAUUUGUGCUUGGAAGAAAGGCAAAGUUCUACAGUUUUGUCUCCCCAAGUACUGUUAGGUAGAAUCAUAAAAUCAUCAAGGCUGGAAAGACCAACAGGGUUGUCUAGCCCAGUCAUCAGCCCAGGAGAAGGAGCACUUGAGCACCAUGGCUAUGAGCAAGUUUAUUCCCAAUGAAAUAAGUUGUGCCCAUAUGCCCCCCCACCACAGCACUGUCAUAUUUUUAGUGAUCAAGGUACAGAAGUACUCAAACUGAAGUUCCCAAGGGGGCUGUGGGCUAUGGUUGACUCUGCAGCAUGACCUUUCUCUAUCCUACUCAUGGAUAACUAGAUAUGUUGACAUCUGCCAUGGGUCCAUCAAUCAGCCAGAUCUCUUGCAAUGAGCUCGGUAGCCACAGUUCACAGAGCAGAGCUUGGACACCACUGGCUUCAAACUACACAACUUGCAACGUUUAUCAAAGAGUGAUUCCACACUAAACUUCAUUCAUCUCUCAUUUUAGCCACAGUUCAGUGAGAUCACACAUAGAUGUUAAAGACAAUAAGCAAAGACGUUCCCAGCUUUGUCAGUCAGAUUUGUUAGCCCAAGUUACAGUAGCAACAACAUUCAUUCUACCUCGAACAAAUUCAGUACCUUUCAAAUACUUUUUCCCCAUGUUUUCGGUGAUGAUCUAUGUAUAUCAUUUACUCAAUGCAUUAAGAAAGCCAUUUUGAAAGAAGUGAAAAA